This 253-nucleotide ribosomal RNA is filed under the name uncultured bacterium. Its description in RNAcentral is "partial 16S ribosomal RNA". It matches the Rfam family "Bacterial small subunit ribosomal RNA", at positions 524 to 776 of the family's 1533-position model. The record is from RNAcentral.
GACGUAGGGCGCGAGCGUUGUCCGGAUUUAUUGGGCGUAAAGAGCUCGUAGGCGGCUUGUUGCGUCGACUGUGAAAACCCGCAGCUUAACUGCGGGCCUGCAGUUGAUACGGGCAGACUAGAGUGUGGUAGGGGAGAUCGGAAUUCCUGGUGUAGCGGUGAAAUGCGCAGAUAUCAGGAGGAACACCGGUGGCGAAGGCGGCAUCCUGGACCGAGAUUGACGCUGAUGCGCGAAAGCCAGGGGAGCAAACGGG